Molecule: ribosomal RNA, 490 nt
Filed under: uncultured bacterium
Lineage: Bacteria
Description: partial 16S ribosomal RNA
Rfam family: Bacterial small subunit ribosomal RNA
Source: RNAcentral
UGAACGCUGGCGGUAGGCCUAACACAUGCAAGUCGAACGGCAGCACAGUAAGAGCUUGCUCUUACGGGUGGCGAGUGGCGGACGGGUGAGGAAUACAUCGGAAUCUACUUUUUCGUGGGGGAUAACGUAGGGAAACUUACGCUAAUACCGCAUACGACCUACGGGUGAAAGCAGGGGAUCUUCGGACCUUGCGCGAUUGAAUGAGCCGAUGUCGGAUUAGCUAGUUGGCGGGGUAAAGGCCCACCAAGGCGACGAUCCGUAGCUGGUCUGAGAGGAUGAUCAGCCACACUGGAACUGAGACACGGUCCAGACUCCUACGGGAGGCAGCAGUGGGGAAUAUUGGACAAUGGGCGCAAGCUUGAUCCAGCCAUACCGCGUGGGUGAAGAAGGCCUUCGGGUUGUAAAGCCCUUUUGUUGGGAAAGAAAAGCAGCAGGUUAAUACCCCGCUGUUCUGACGGUACCCAAAGAAUAAGCACCGGCUAACUUCGUG